UAAUCCGCAUAAGCGCACAGGACCGCAUGGUCCGGUGUGAAAAACUCCGGUGGUAUGAGAUGGACCCGCGUCUGAUUAGCUGGUUGGCGGGGUAACGGCCCACCAAGGCGACGAUCAGUAGCCGACCUGAGAGGGUGGCCGGCCACAUUGGGACUGAGACACGGCCCAAACUCCUACGGGAGGCAGCAG
This 189-nucleotide ribosomal RNA is filed under the name uncultured bacterium. RNAcentral's name for it is "partial 16S ribosomal RNA". It matches the Rfam family "Bacterial small subunit ribosomal RNA", at positions 164 to 354 of the family's 1533-position model. The record is from RNAcentral.